This 210-nucleotide long non-coding RNA is filed under the name Bos taurus (domestic cattle). Its description in RNAcentral is "long non-coding RNA NONBTAT018831". The record is from RNAcentral. Lineage: Eukaryota; Metazoa; Chordata; Mammalia; Artiodactyla; Bovidae.
UGUCCCAAAAGUUACAGGUCAUCACUCAUGCCCAGCUCUCUACCUGCGAGAAUUUAGGUAAAGAGUUUGCACUUUGUGAUAAAGGGAGGAAAGAGCAACUAACAUUUAAUGACUGUCUGCUAAGCACUUGACCACCUGGACAUCUUCCACCUUCAGUGACCUGGAUCUAAAUAAAACCACUCAAUAAUGGGAUCUGCAAUUAUGUGACUU